This 117-nucleotide ribozyme is filed under the name Aedes aegypti (yellow fever mosquito). RNAcentral's name for it is "drz-agam-1 ribozyme". It matches the Rfam family "drz-agam-1 ribozyme". Lineage: Eukaryota; Metazoa; Arthropoda; Insecta; Diptera; Culicidae. The record is from Rfam by way of RNAcentral.
UGCCCAGCAACUCCUAUCCGUACCUCCUCGUGGUACUGGCCGGGGUACGAGUAACCUUAGAGAAGAUCGGGUAACCAACCCCCGGUGGGAACUUUGGUCGUAUGCUGACAGGGAAGG